RNAcentral lists this long non-coding RNA (403 nucleotides) under Helianthus annuus (common sunflower). Its description in RNAcentral is "sRNA HanXRQr2_Chr09g0406641". Lineage: Eukaryota; Viridiplantae; Streptophyta; Magnoliopsida; Asterales; Asteraceae. The record is from RNAcentral.
UGAUUUCGUAUUUCCUUUCUUGCAACCAAUCAUGAACAAGGAUUUAAUACCGAUAUAAUCAUCUUUUCGAUUUCGGAAACUACGCAACUUACGGAAACAAGAUUAUUUCCAUAAUUUACGAGGUCUUAGAAUAUUAUAAAUAACCACCCUUCACAACCUGUUUUGAUCACCCUCACACAAUCAUCACACCUUCCGUAUCACCUACACCCUUGCCGGAGAAACCAAGCACGUCGCCGGAGUUCGAAGUUUCGCCGGAGAAGUUCGAAGCCAACGAGGAUCGUGCCAUCUCAUGUUCGGAUAAUUGCUUUGCUCGUUCUCUUGGAUUUUUCUCAAUCUUUACUCGUGCGUUAUCUCAAGGAAUCUCCAAACGCAACCAAUGUUGAUAGACAAGAUGAUGAAGAAG